RNAcentral lists this unclassified non-coding RNA (217 nucleotides) under Hevea brasiliensis (rubber tree). The record is from RNAcentral. Lineage: Eukaryota; Viridiplantae; Streptophyta; Magnoliopsida; Malpighiales; Euphorbiaceae.
CGCCCGCGGGCUCUCGCGGCUAUCGUCGAUAGCCGACGGCGUACCGCAGACGCAUCCCAUGGCUCAGGCGGUGUGUCUAGCAGCGGAGGGGGAGGCGGAGAUCGUCCUGCUCGCUGGCGGCCAUGAGAGUGACGAGAGGUGGAUCGAGAGGCCGAGUGGGUGGAAGCCGACUCGGCAGGUGACGAGCGAGUACAGGUAGUUGGGAGUGAGAUCUGGG